AUUGACCUCGGAUCAGGUAGGGAUACCCGCUGAACUUAAGCAUAUCAAUAAGCGGAGGAAAAGAAACCAACAGGGAUUGCCUCAGUAACGGCGAGUGAAGCGGCAACAGCUCAAAUUUGAAAUCUGGCCCCUUUCGGGGUCCGAGUUGUAAUUUGUAGAGAGUGCUUCGGGCGAGACAACGGUCUAAGUUCAUUGGAACAUGGCGUCAUAGAGGGUGAGAAUCCCGUAUGCGACCGUGGCUUGAGCCCAUGUGAAGCCUCUUCGACGAGUCGAGUUGUUUGGGAAUGCAGCUCAAAAUGGGUGGUAAAUUUCAUCUAAAGCUAAAUACUGGCUGGAGACCGAUAGCGCACAAGUAGAGUGAUCGAAAGAUGAAAAGCACUUUGGAAAGAGAGUCAAACAGUACGUGAAAUUGUUGAAA
This 418-nucleotide ribosomal RNA is filed under the name Nipponoparmelia laevior. Its description in RNAcentral is "eukaryotic LSU rRNA". It matches the Rfam family "Eukaryotic large subunit ribosomal RNA", at positions 1 to 413 of the family's 3401-position model. Lineage: Eukaryota; Fungi; Ascomycota; Lecanoromycetes; Lecanorales; Parmeliaceae. The record is from RNAcentral.